This 324-nucleotide long non-coding RNA is filed under the name Mytilus galloprovincialis (Mediterranean mussel). The record is from RNAcentral. Lineage: Eukaryota; Metazoa; Mollusca; Bivalvia; Mytilida; Mytilidae.
UGUUUUGUAUUAUUUUUGUUUUUAUUUAUUUUAUUAAAAAGUUUGAAUUUUGAAACUUAUAGGUGUCAGUCGAUCCCGGCCUGCCUCUACAUCGGCAACAACGCCCGGCUUGCCUAUACAGCGGCAGCAAUGCCAAACACCAUCUUAGGCAUUGUUCCCAGCUAGUUUCCCCACUAAGACGUUCACAGCUAGUUUCCCCCAUCAUGGAAAGAUUCCAAGACCAACCCUCACAGAGUCAUUCGUCUGUUGAGAGUUUGGGUCUUUAAAGAACAACUAACUAUGCAGACCAACAUACUACAUAACAUCAACAAUAGGAAUUCCAAA